Molecule: ribosomal RNA, 497 nt
Filed under: uncultured bacterium
Lineage: Bacteria
Description: partial 16S ribosomal RNA
Rfam family: Bacterial small subunit ribosomal RNA
Source: RNAcentral
GAUGAACGCUGGCGGCGUGCCUAAUACAUGCAAGUCGAGCGAACGGACGAGAAGCUUGCUUCUCUGAUGUUAGCGGCGGACGGGCGAGUCACACGUGGAUAACCUACCUAUAAGACUGGGAUAAUUUCGGGAAACCGGAGCUAAUACCGGAUAAUAUUUUGAACCGCAUGGUUCAAAAGUAAAAGACGGCCUUGCUGUCACUUAUAGAUGGAUCCGCGCUGCAUUAGCUAGUUGGUAAGGUCACGGCUUACCAAGGCAACGAUGCAUAGCCGACCUGAGAGGGUGGUCGGCGACAUUGGAACUGGAACACGGUCAAGAGUCCUACGGGAGGCAGCAGUAGGGAAUCGUCCGCAAUGGGCGGAAGCCUGACGGAGCAACGCCGCGUGAGUGAUGAAGAUCUUCGGAGCGUAAAACUCUGUUAUUAGGGAAGAACAUAUGUGGAAGUAACUGUGGACAUCUUGACGGUACCUAAUCAGAAAGCCACGGCUAACUACGUG